GACGAACGCUGGCGGCAUGCCUAAUACAUGCAAGUCGAGCGGAGUUUGAAUGGAAGCUUGCUUCCAUUCUUGCUUAGCGGCGGACGGGUGAGUAACACGUGGGCAACCUGCCUGUAAGACUGGGAUAACUUCGGGAAACCGAGGCUAAUACCGGAUAAUACUUUUUCUCACAUGAGGGAAAGCUGAAAGACGGCGCAAGCUGUCACUUACAGAUGGGCCCGCGGCGCAUUAGCUAGUUGGUGAGGUAACGGCUCACCAAGGCGACGAUGCGUAGCCGACCUGAGAGGGUGAUCGGCCACACUGGGACUGAGACACGGCCCAGACUCCUACGGGAGGCAG
Molecule: ribosomal RNA, 339 nt
Filed under: uncultured Bacillota bacterium
Lineage: Bacteria; Bacillati; Bacillota
Description: bacterial SSU rRNA
Rfam family: Bacterial small subunit ribosomal RNA
Source: RNAcentral